RNAcentral lists this ribosomal RNA (547 nucleotides) under [Candida] sp. A25M016. Its description in RNAcentral is "eukaryotic LSU rRNA". It matches the Rfam family "Eukaryotic large subunit ribosomal RNA", at positions 86 to 657 of the family's 3401-position model. The record is from RNAcentral. Lineage: Eukaryota; Fungi; Ascomycota; Saccharomycetes; Saccharomycetales.
CCGGCGAAGUGAAGCGGCAAAAGCUCAAAUUUGAAAUCUGCGUAAGCCGAGUUGUAAUUUGAAGAUGGCUACUUUGGUAAUGGCUCUUGUCUAUGUUCCUUGGAACAGGACGUCACAGAGGGUGAGAAUCCCGUGCGAUGAGAUGUCCAUUACCGUGUAAAGUGCUUUCGAAGAGUCGAGUUGUUUGGGAAUGCAGCUCUAAGUGGGUGGUAAAUUCCAUCUAAAGCUAAAUAUUGGCGAGAGACCGAUAGCGAACAAGUACAGUGAUGGAAAGAUGAAAAGAACUUUGAAAAGAGAGUGAAAAAGUACGUGAAAUUGUUGAAAGGGAAGGGCUUGAGAUCAGACUUGGUAUUUUGUAUGGCUUGCUUUCGGGCGGGUCCUCUGCAGUUUACUGGGCCAGCAUCGGUUUGGGUGGCAGGAUAAUAGCAUAGGAAUGUGGCUCUACUUCGGUGGAGUGUUAUAGCCUUUGUUGAUACUGCCUGCCUAGACCGAGGACUGCGUCUUUUGACUACGAUGCUGGCAUAAUGAUCCUAAGCCGCCCGCUAGA